RNAcentral lists this transfer RNA (74 nucleotides) under Planctomycetota bacterium. RNAcentral describes it as "Planctomycetes bacterium (mine drainage metagenome) tRNA-Pro". It matches the Rfam family "tRNA". Rfam says of the family: Transfer RNA (tRNA) molecules are approximately 80 nucleotides in length. Their secondary structure includes four short double-helical elements and three loops (D, anti-codon, and T loops). Further hydrogen bonds mediate the characteristic L-shaped molecular structure. tRNAs have two regions of fundamental functional importance: the anti-codon, which is responsible for specific mRNA codon recognition, and the 3' end, to which the tRNAs corresponding amino acid is attached (by aminoacyl-tRNA synthetases). tRNAs cope with the degeneracy of the genetic code in two manners: having more than one tRNA (with a specific anti-codon) for a particular amino acid; and 'wobble' base-pairing, i.e. permitting non-standard base-pairing at the 3rd anti-codon position. Lineage: Bacteria; Pseudomonadati; Planctomycetota. The record is from RNAcentral.
CAGGGUGUAGCUCAGCUUGGUAGAGCGCUUGGUUUGGGUCCAAGAGGCCGCAGGUUCAAAUCCUGUCACCCUGA